This 506-nucleotide ribosomal RNA is filed under the name uncultured bacterium. RNAcentral describes it as "partial 16S ribosomal RNA". It matches the Rfam family "Bacterial small subunit ribosomal RNA", at positions 30 to 523 of the family's 1533-position model. The record is from RNAcentral.
AUUGAACGCUGGCGGCAGGCUUAACACAUGCAAGUCGAGCGGUAACAGAGAGAAGCUUGCUUCUCUGCUGACGAGCGGCGGACGGGUGAGUAAUGCCUAGGAAUCUGCCUAGUAGUGGGGGAUAACUUGCCGAAAGGUAAGCUAAUACCGCAUACGUCCUACGGGAGAAAGGAGGGGACCUUCGGGCCUUUCGCUAUUAGAUGAGCCUAGGUCGGAUUAGUUAGUUGGGGAGGUAAUGGCUCACCAAGACCGCGAUCCGUAACUGGGCUGAGAGGAUGAUCCGUCACGCUGGAACUGAGACACGGUCCAGACUCCUACGGGAGGCAGCAGUGGGGAAUAUUGGACAAUGGGGGGAACCCUGAUUCAGCCAUGCCGCGUGUGUGAAGAAGGUCUUAGGAUUGUAAAGCACUUUAAGUUGGGAGGAAGAGCAGUUAACUAAUAUUUGACUGUUUUGACGUUACCGACAGAAUAAGCACCGGCUAACUUCGUGCCAGCAGCCGCAGUAA